GAGUCUAGCAUGUGCGCGAGUCAUUGGGAUUCGCUAAACCUACAGGCGCAAUGAAAGUGAAGGUCGGCCUCGCGCCGACCGAGGGAGGAUGAGCUGCCGUUCUCGGACGGCGCUCCGCACUCCCGGGGCGUCUCGUACUCAUCGCGAGUUGAGGCGCACCCAGAGCGUACACGCUGGGACCCGAAAGAUGGUGAACUAUGCCUGGUCAGGACGAAGUCAGGGGAAACCCUGAUGGAGGUCCGUAGCGAUUCUGACGUGCAAAUCGAUCGUCGGAACUGGGUAUAGGGGCGAAAGACUAAUCGAACCAUCUAGUAGCUGGUUCCCUCCGAAGUUUCCCUCAGGAUAGCUGGCGCUCGUAUUUUACGAGUCUCAUCCGGUAAAGCGAAUGAUUAGAGGCAUUGGGGUCGAAACGGCCUCAACCUAUUCUCAAACUUUAAAUGGGUGAGAUCUCCGGCUUGCUCGAUUGAAGCCGCGAGAUUUCGGAUCAGAGUGCCAAGUGGGCCAUUUUUGGUAAGCAGAACUGGCGCUGUGGGAUGAACCAAACGUGGAGUUAAAGCGCCUAAAUCGACGCUUAUGGGAUACCAUGAAAGGCGUUGGUAACUUAAGACAGCAGGACGGUGGCCAUGGAAGUCGGA
RNAcentral lists this ribosomal RNA (635 nucleotides) under Tristaria sp. NLG-2014. RNAcentral describes it as "eukaryotic LSU rRNA". It matches the Rfam family "Eukaryotic large subunit ribosomal RNA", at positions 671 to 1265 of the family's 3401-position model. The record is from RNAcentral. Lineage: Eukaryota; Metazoa; Arthropoda; Insecta; Coleoptera; Bostrichidae.